RNAcentral lists this ribosomal RNA (709 nucleotides) under Mycobacterium sp. 96-FB. RNAcentral's name for it is "bacterial SSU rRNA". It matches the Rfam family "Bacterial small subunit ribosomal RNA", at positions 154 to 874 of the family's 1533-position model. Lineage: Bacteria; Bacillati; Actinomycetota; Actinomycetes; Mycobacteriales; Mycobacteriaceae. The record is from RNAcentral.
AAACUGGGUCUAAUACCGGAUAUACCUCAUGGGAUGCAUGUCUUGUGGGGGAAAGCUUUUGCGGUGUGGGAUGGGCCCGCGGCCUAUCAGCUUGUUGGUGGGGUGAUGGCCUACCAAGGCGACGACGGGUAGCCGGCCUGAGAGGGUGUCCGGCCACACUGGGACUGAGAUACGGCCCAGACUCCUACGGGAGGCAGCAGUGGGGAAUAUUGCACAAUGGGCGCAAGCCUGAUGCAGCGACGCCGCGUGAGGGACGACGGCCUUCGGGUUGUAAACCUCUUUCAGCACAGACGAAGCGCAAGUGACGGUAUGUGCAGAAGAAGGACCGGCCAACUACGUGCCAGCAGCCGCGGUAAUACGUAGGGUCCGAGCGUUGUCCGGAAUUACUGGGCGUAAAGAGCUCGUAGGUGGUUUGUCGCGUUGUUCGUGAAAACUCACAACUCAAUUGUGGGCGUGCGGGCGAUACGGGCAGACUGGAGUACUGCAGGGGAGACUGGAAUUCCUGGUGUAGCGGUGGAAUGCGCAGAUAUCAGGAGGAACACCGGUGGCGAAGGCGGGUCUCUGGGCAGUAACUGACGCUGAGGAGCGAAAGCGUGGGGAGCGAACAGGAUUAGAUACCCUGGUAGUCCACGCCGUAAACGGUGGGUACUAGGUGUGGGUUUCCUUCCUUGGGAUCCGUGCCGUAGCUAACGCAUUAAGUACCCCGCCU